This 534-nucleotide ribosomal RNA is filed under the name Oreophrynella macconnelli. RNAcentral describes it as "partial 16S ribosomal RNA". It matches the Rfam family "Bacterial large subunit ribosomal RNA", at positions 1817 to 2597 of the family's 2925-position model. Lineage: Eukaryota; Metazoa; Chordata; Amphibia; Anura; Bufonidae. The record is from RNAcentral.
CGCCUCUUGCACACAACUAUAUGAGGUCUAGCCUGCCCAGUGACCCAGUUAAACGGCCGCGGUAUCCUAACCGUGCGAAGGUAGCGUAAUCACUUGUUCUAUAAAUCAGGACUCGUAUGAACGGCAUCACGAAGGUUAUACUGUCUCCUUUUUCUAAUCAGUGAAAUUAAUCUCCCUGUGAAAAAGCAGGGAUAAACUUAUAAGACGAGAAGACCCUAUGGAGCUUUAAACACAUAAUAUCUGUUAUACUUCAACGCCUUUUCAUAACAAUAUAUUAUAGUUUUAGGUUGGGGAGACCGCGGCGUAAAACAAAACCCCCGCGUUGAAACAUAUUAGAACCACAAUUCCUAUAUCAUUAUCUUGACAAAAUUGACCCAAAUUAUUGAGCAACGAACCAAGUUACCCUAGGGAUAACAGCGCAAUCCACUUUAAGAGCCCAUAUCGACAAGUGGGCUUACGACCUCGAUGUUGGAUCAGGGUAUCCCAGUGGUGCAGCCGCUACUAAAGGUUCGUUUGUUCAACGAUUUAUACCCU